Molecule: non-coding RNA, 72 nt
Organism: Ixodes scapularis (black-legged tick)
Lineage: Eukaryota; Metazoa; Arthropoda; Arachnida; Ixodida; Ixodidae
Source: Rfam
GCCGUGAUCGUACUGUGGUUUGUACCUUGCGUUAUGGCGGCAAUAACCCAGGUUCGAAUCCUGGUCCCGGCA